UGGGGAAUAUUGGGCAAUGGGCGAAAGCCUGACCCAGCAACGCCGCGUGAGGGAAGAAGGCCUUCGGGUCGUAAACCUCUGUCGCAGGGGACGAGGAGAAGACGGUACCCUGUGAGGAAGCCCCGGCUAACUACGUGCCAGCAGCCGCGGUAAUACGUAGGGGGCGAGCGUUGUCCGGAAUGACUGGGCGUAAAGGGCGCGUAGGUGGCCUUAUAAGUUUGGAGUGAAAGUCCCGCUUUCAAGGUGGGAAUUGCUUUGAAGACUGUAGGGCUUGAGUGUGGGAGAGGAUAGCGGAAUUCCCGGUGUAGCGGUGAAAUGCGUAGAGAUCGGGAGGAACACCAGUGGCGAAGGCGGCUAUCUGGACCAAGACUGACACUGAGGCGCGAAAGCGUGGGUAGCAAACAGG
Molecule: ribosomal RNA, 406 nt
Filed under: uncultured prokaryote
Also listed under: 1 other name
Description: bacterial SSU rRNA
Rfam family: Bacterial small subunit ribosomal RNA
Source: RNAcentral